Rhododendron vialii is the source of this 1890-nucleotide RNA transcript. It is a transcript of the gene named DNA repair protein recA homolog 2, mitochondrial, with no coding region annotated. NCBI's taxonomy places the organism in Eukaryota, Viridiplantae, Streptophyta, Magnoliopsida, Ericales, Ericaceae. The record is from RefSeq and is a predicted model, not a curated record. The transcript is spliced from 9 exons.
UGAAGGCCCAAUACCGACCAAAACAUGGUGGUCCAAUAUCUACUGAAGCAUGGAGAUCAGGCAUUUAUGUUCGGAAUUGUAUUUUAAAGUUGUAUUUAGUGAUUUUGCUGGACUUUAUCAGGGCGGGCUCACUCUCAGACGACACUUCUUCAAAACCCGGGAAGCAUCCUUGUAGAACGAAAGAGGGCCAAGAAUGGUCUCCUCUUUCAGACCCCUAUUCCUUCACUCCCUUCGCUUCAAUCCCUUCACCAGAAGACCCCUCCUCUCCUCCCCCCACCACGAGAGUGGAGGUAAAUACCCAAUAACUUGGGUUGGGAGUCGAAGCCGAUUAGUUUCUUCCGCAGUUGAGGUUUCAGAAUUUGUACGUGAUGAACUUCACAGUGAAGUCAGAGCAGAGGAAAAAGAUACUGCACUUCGCCUGGCUCUCUCAAGGCUAGCAAGUGAUUUUGGCAGAGAGUCUAUGUUGUCUUUGCAGCGCUUUUUUAAUUCAAGGCGUUUGCCUGUGAUAUCUACGGGUUCAUUGAAGCUUGAUAUAGCUCUUGGGAUUGGAGGAUUACCCAAGGGUAGGAUGGUUGAAAUUUAUGGGCAAGAAGCAUCAGGCAAGACAACUCUUGCCCUUCAUAUCAUCAAGGAAGCCCAAAAGCUUGGAGGUUAUUGUGCAUAUCUUGAUGUGGAGAAUGCAAUGGACCCUUCCCUAGCAGAAGCAAUAGGAGUAAACACGGAAAACCUCCUCAUUUCUCAGCCAGACUCUGCUGAGAAUUUGCUGUGCAUGGUUGAUACACUGACCAAAAGUGGAUCAGUAGAUGUAAUUGUGGUUGAUAGCGUAGCCGCUCUUGUUCCCCAGCGUGAAAUUGAUGUUGUUCUCAUUGGUGACAAAUACAAGGACAUGCAAUCACAAAUCAUGACCCAAGCACUACGGAAGAUUCGUUCUUCGUUAUGCCAAUCUCAGGCUUUAAUCAUAUUUGUUAAUCAGGUGAGAUCAAACGUAAAAUCUGUGAAGGGCUUUGGACAUGCAGAGGAGGUUACUUGUGGUGGAAAUGCCUUGCCAUUCCAUGCGGCUGUAAGGAUGAGAAUUUCAAGAACAGGAUUGCUCAGGUCUGAAGAUAAGGUAACUGGUGUCGGGAUUUGUGUCCAAGUGGUGAAAAAUACGUUGUCUCCUCCAAUGAAGAAGGCUGAACUAGCGAUAAAUUUCGGUAGAGGCAUUCGCUGCGAGUCUGAGGUCUUGGAUUUGGCUUGCGAACAUGGAGUCAUUGUGGAAGAAGGAAACAACUUCUUUAUUGAUGGGGAUGUCGUCAAAAAUAGAAAGGAAGCUGAGCGCUAUUUGGCCGAAAAUGAUGCGGUUUUUGAUAACAUUGUGAAAUGUUUAAGAUGUCGGUUAUUUGAGGGCCAAGCAUAGUCAUGGGAAUCUGGUACAUCAAUUCUUUAGAAAAACCUGACAAUUCUUUCAAGAUGUAAUCUUGGAGUUGUCCGAUAGUGAGUACAAAUUGCUACUUCCUCAGGCCAUCUGCUCCAUCUGCAAGUGGUUUCAUGUCAUUGUACUGCAAAUAGGUUCGUCUCUGCUUGUGUUAUGACUUCUCUGGUGGUGUUUCUCAAUCUCCAACAAUUCUUCAGCCUAUGGGGGUUCUCUUGUGUUUCUGCUGGAAAGUAAACACAUCAAACUAGCAGAUCAUCCAUCGAUUGGCAAUUUUUUUUUUUGGAAGACCAAUAAAUUCAUUUGUGUGAAGACGUGCAUAUGAUUGGCCGGAGUUAUGUUCCAAAUGAUUGGUCAAAGUUGUAUGUACUUGGUUUGUGCUUCCUGGACGAGGAUGUUAUUGUACCAUUACCCUAUUUAUCUUGUUGUAAUCUAAAUUUUCUAUCGUUUAAUCCUUAGGCAUUUUGCUGAUAGAAAAA